AAUUUUUGACAAUGGGGGCAACCCUGAUCCAGCCAUUCCGCGUGUGUGAAGAAGGUCUUCGGAUUGUAAAGCACUUUAAGUUGGGAGGAAGGGCUUUAGGCUAAUACCCUGAAGUUUUGACGUUACCAAAAGAAUAAGCACCGGCUACCUCUGUGCCAGCCGCCGCGGUAACACAGAGGGUGGAAGCGUUAAUCGGAAUUACUGGGCGUAAAGCGCGCGUAGGUGGGUCAGUAAGAUGGGUGUGAAAUCCCCGGGCUUAACCUGGGAACUGCUUUCAUAACUGCUGAGCUAGAGUACGGUAGAGGGUAGUGGAAUUUCCUGUGUAGCGGUGAAAUGCGUAGAUAUAGGAAGGAACACCAGUGGCGAAGGCGACUACCUGGACUGAUACUGACACUGAGGUGCGAAAGCGUGGGGAGCAAACA
RNAcentral lists this ribosomal RNA (422 nucleotides) under uncultured bacterium. Its description in RNAcentral is "partial 16S ribosomal RNA". It matches the Rfam family "Bacterial small subunit ribosomal RNA", at positions 360 to 774 of the family's 1533-position model. The record is from RNAcentral.